AGUGAACGCUGGCGGUAGGCCUAACACAUGCAAGUCGAACGGCAGCACAGUAAGAGCUUGCUCUUACGGGUGGCGAGUGGCGGACGGGUGAGGAAUACAUCGGAAUCUACUUUUUCGUGGGGGAUAACGUAGGGAAACUUACGCUAAUACCGCAUACGACCUACGGGUGAAAGCAGGGGAUCUUCGGACCUUGCGCGAUUGAAUGAGCCGAUGUCGGAUUAGCUAGUUGGCGGGGUAAAGGCCCACCAAGGCGACGAUCCGUAGCUGGUCUGAGAGGAUGAACAGCACACACGGGACUGAAGGAGGGGCCCGACCCCAUGGGGGAGGAGCAGGGGGGAAAUUUUGGAGAGGGGCGGCAGUCGGGAACAACCCACACGGGGGGGAGAAAAAAGGCUUUGGGGUUGUAAGCCCUUUUUGUGGGGAAGGAAAAAAAAAGGUUUACUACCGGGUGGUUAGGACGGUACCAAAAGAAUAAGCCCCGGCUAAUUUCGUG
Molecule: ribosomal RNA, 493 nt
Filed under: uncultured bacterium
Lineage: Bacteria
Description: partial 16S ribosomal RNA
Rfam family: Bacterial small subunit ribosomal RNA
Source: RNAcentral